AGGGUCAGGUUUGGUCAGAGGUGUUUCAGUGUAGAGGCAACGAAUCUCAGAUUCACUUCUGUCCAACAUCAUCUUCACUCAAACACAACUGCUCCCAUGACAGUGAUGUGGGACUGGUGUGUUCUGAUGGUGUACGUUUGGUAAAUGGAAGCAGUCGCUGUGCUGGGAGAGUGGAGGUUCUUCAUAGAGGACAUUGGGGAACAGUGUGUGAUGAUGGCUGGGAUAUGAGAGAUGCUGCAGUGGUGUGUAGAGAGCUGCGCUGUGGAGAAGCUGUAGAUGCACUGAGUGAUGCUCACUUUGGACCAGGAUCAGGACCAAUCUGGAUGGAUAAUGUGGACUGUAGUGGAUCAGAGACUACACUGAAGAACUGUAGAUCAAGAGGAUGGGGUAAACAUGAUUGUGAUCACAGUAAGGAUGUCGGAGUCAUCUGUUCAGAAGUCAGGCUGGUUGGUGAUUCUCACUGCUCUGGGAGAGUGGAGGUGCUUCAUGGAGAGACCUGGUCCACAGUGUGUGAUGCUGACUUUGACCAGCAGGAUGCAGAGGUUGUGUGUCGAGAGCUGGG
This is a long non-coding RNA of Pygocentrus nattereri (red-bellied piranha), 562 nucleotides long. RefSeq lists it as uncharacterized. Lineage: Eukaryota; Metazoa; Chordata; Actinopteri; Characiformes; Serrasalmidae. The transcript has 3 exons. The record is from RefSeq and is a predicted model, not a curated record.